Molecule: ribosomal RNA, 255 nt
Filed under: uncultured bacterium
Lineage: Bacteria
Description: partial 16S ribosomal RNA
Rfam family: Bacterial small subunit ribosomal RNA
Source: RNAcentral
UACGUAGGGCGCAAGCGUUUGUCCGGAAUUAUUGGGCGUAAAGAGCUCGUAGGCGGUUUGUCGCGUCUGCUGUGAAAACUCGAGGCUCAACCUCGGGCUUGCAGUGGGUACGGGCAGACUAGAGUGCGGUAGGGGUGACUGGAAUUCCUGGUGUAGCGGUGAAAUGCGCAGAUAUCAGGAGGAACACCGAUGGCGAAGGCAGGUCUCUGGGCAUUAACUGACGCUGGAGGAGCGAAAGCGUGGGGAGCGAACAGG